This 253-nucleotide ribosomal RNA is filed under the name uncultured bacterium. RNAcentral's name for it is "partial 16S ribosomal RNA". It matches the Rfam family "Bacterial small subunit ribosomal RNA", at positions 524 to 776 of the family's 1533-position model. The record is from RNAcentral.
UACGAAGGGGGCUAGCGUUGCUCGGAAUUACUGGGCGUAAAGGGCGCGUAGGCGGAUAGUUCAGUCGGGGGUGAAAGCCCGGGGCUCAACCUCGGAACUGCCUUCGAUACUGGCUAUCUUGAGUACGGGAGAGGUGUGUGGAACUCCGAGUGUAGAGGUGAAAUUCGUAGAUAUUCGGAAGAACACCAGUGGUGAAGGCGACACACUGGCCCGUUACUGACGCUGAGGCGCGAAAGCGUGGGGAUCAAACAGG